GCUCCACAACUCACACAUCUUGGGACAGGAUCAUUUCGACCAUCAGAGGAUGUGGCUCACGGUGAACAAGAACCAGAUUAUGUAUCUGCAUUUGCUGCUUGCGAAUCAUUAGUUUGCCUAUCUGGCUUUAGGGAAAUCGUUCCAGACUACUUGCCAGCAAUUUACCCAGUUUGUGCCAAUCUCACUUCUCUGAACUUAAGCUAUGCAAAUAU
RNAcentral lists this unclassified non-coding RNA (212 nucleotides) under Hevea brasiliensis (rubber tree). Lineage: Eukaryota; Viridiplantae; Streptophyta; Magnoliopsida; Malpighiales; Euphorbiaceae. The record is from RNAcentral.